CCCCCCCCUUGAUGGGGGUAGUGAGAGCCCGGGGUGAUCAGGGGCUGGCUCUCAGUGCACGCCUCUUGGGGGUGCCUCCCCCCCUGCGAUGGGGUCACUGAGAGCCAGGGGGGAUGUGGGGCUGGCUCUCAGUCCCUGCCUCGUGGGGGGUGCCUCCCUCCCCAUGAUGGGGGUCGUGAGAGCCCGGGGUGAUCAGGGGCUGGCUCUCAGUCCACGCCUCUCGGGGGUUGCCUCCCCCCCGCGAUGGGGUCACUGAGAUCCAGGGGGAAGAGGGGCUGGCUCUCAGUCCCUGCCUCGUUGGGGGUGCCUCCCCCCCCUGCGAUGGCGGUCAUGAGAGCCGGGGGGGAUGAGGGGCUGGCUCUCAGUCCCCGCCUCGCUGGGGGUGCCUCCCCCCCCUGCGAUGGGGACCCUAAGGGCCAGGGGGGAUGUGGGGCUGGCUCUCAGUCCCUGCCUCGUGGGGGGUGCCUCCCCCUCCUGCGAUGGUGGUCCUAAGAGCCAGAGGGGGAAGAGGGGCUGGCUCUCAGUCCCUGCCUCGUGGGGGGUGCCUCCCCCUCCUGCGAUGGUGGUCCUAAGAGCCAGAGGGGGAAGAGGGGCUGGCUCUCAGUCCCUGCCUCGUUGGGGGUGCCUCCCCCCCCUGCGAUGGGGGUCAUGAGAGCCGGGGGGGAUGAGGGGCUGGCUCUCAGUCCCCGCCUCGCGGGGGGUGCCUCCCCCCCCUGCGAUGGGGGCCCUAAGGGCCAGGGGGGAUGUGGGGCUGGCUCUCAGUCCCUGCCUCGUGGGGGGUGCCUCCCCCCCCUGCGAUGGGGGUCCUGAGUCCACAGUCUACAAUACCCCACAGCUCCCAAGAAUUCCCUCACCUGCCUUCUGCCCUUAGGCUCUGGUAGAUUGUAAAUAACCUGCUUUCUUUCUGUUCCCGGGCGGUGUCGAACCCCUGUCGGAGAGUAAAUCCGAAGUAAGGUACCUGCCGUGGGCAGAUUUGAGCUUUCUUCUUGGACACCUAAUACCCACAGUCCUCCAGGCUCCGGUAGAUUGCAAAUGACCUGCUUUCUUUCUGUUCCCGGCGUUUGGACCCCUGUCGGAUAGUAAAUCCCAAGUAAAGUACCUGCCGUGGGCAGAUUUGAGCUUUCUUCUUGGACACCUAAUACCCAGAGUCGUCCAGGUGGGUCCUUAAGGUUCUUAGGAUCCCCGAUGGGGGUCCUAAGCCAGGGGGGGAUGAGGGGCUGGCUCUCAGUCCCGGCUUCGUGGGGGGUGCCUCCCCCCCCGCGAUGGGGGCCCUAAGAGCCACGGGGGAUGUGGGUCUGGCUCUCAGUCCCUGCCUCGUGGGGGGUGCCUCCCCCCCCUUGAUGGGGGUAGUGAGAGCCCGGGGUGAUCAGGGGCUGGCUCUCAGUGCACGCCUCUUGGGGGUGCCUCCCCCCCUGCGAUGGGGUCACUGAGAGCCAGGGGGGAUGUGGGGCUGGCUCUCAGUCCCUGCCUCGUGGGGGGUGCCUCCCCCCCCAUGAUGUUGGUCGUGAGAGCCCGGGGUGAUCAGGGGCUGGCUCUCAGUCCACGCCUCUCGGGGGGUGCCUCCCCCCCUGCGAUGGGGUCACUGAGAUCCAGGGGGAAGAGGGGCUGGCUCUCAGUCCCUGCCUCGUUGGGUGUGCCUCCCCCCCCUGCGAUGGGGGUCAUGAGAGCCGGGGGGGAUGAGGGGCUGGCUCUCAGUCCCCGCCUCGCUGGGGGUGCCUCCCCCCCCUGCGAUGGGGACCCUAAGGGCCAGGGGGGAUGUGGGGCUGGCUCUCAGUCCCUGCCUCGUGGGGGGUGCCUCCCCCUCCUGCGAUGGUGGUCCUAAGAGCCAGAGGGGGAAGAGGGGCUGGCUCUCAGUCCCUGCCUCGUGGGGGGUGCCUCCCCCUCCUGCGAUGGUGGUCCUAAGAGCCAGGGGGGGAAGAGGGGCUGGCUCUCAGUCCCUGCCUCGUGGGGGGUGCCUCCCCCUCCUGCGAUGGUGGUCCUAAGAGCCAGAGGGGGAAGAGGGGCUGGCUCUCAGUCCCUGCCUCGUUGGGGGUGCCUCCCCCCCCUGCGAUGGGGGUCAUGAGAGCCGGGGGGGAUGAGGGGCUGGCUCUCAGUCCCCGCCUCGCGGGGGGUGCCUCCCCCUCCUGCGAUGGGGGCCCUAAGGGCCAGGGGGGAUGUGGGGCUGGCUCUCAGUCCCUGCCUCGUUGGGGGUGCCUCCCCCCCCUGCGAUGGGGGUCAUGAGAGCCGGGGGGGAUGAGGGGCUGGCUCUCAGUCCCCGCCUCGCGGGGGGUGCCUCCCCCCCCUGCGAUGGGGGCCCUAAGGGCCAGGGGGGAUGUGGGGCUGGCUCUCAGUCCCUGCCUCGUGGGGGGUGCCUCCCCCCCCUGCGAUGGGGGUCCUGAGUCCACAGUCUACAAUACCCCACAGCUCCCAAGAAUUCCCUCACCUGCCUUCUGCCCUUAGGCUCUGGUAGAUUGUAAAUAACCUGCUUUCUUUCUGUUCCCGGGCGGUGUCGAACCCCUGUCGGAGAGUAAAUCCGAAGUAAGGUACCUGCCGUGGGCAGAUUUGAGCUUUCUUCUUGGACACCUAAUACCCACAGUCCUCCAGGCUCCGGUAGAUUGCAAAUGACCUGCUUUCUUUCUGUUCCCGGCGUUUGGACCCCUGUCGGAUAGUAAAUCCCAAGUAAAGUACCUGCCGUGGGCAGAUUUGAGCUUUCUUCUUGGACACCUAAUACCCAGAGUCGUCCAGGUGGGUCCUUAAGGUUCUUAGGAUCCCCGAUGGGGGUCCUAAGCCAGGGGGGGAUGAGGGGCUGGCUCUCAGUCCCGGCUUCGUGGGGGGUACCUCCCCCCCCGCGAUGGGGGCC
Molecule: long non-coding RNA, 2839 nt
Organism: Gorilla gorilla gorilla (western lowland gorilla)
Lineage: Eukaryota; Metazoa; Chordata; Mammalia; Primates; Hominidae
Exons: 3
Source: RefSeq, a predicted model, not a curated record